RNAcentral lists this ribosomal RNA (278 nucleotides) under uncultured Staphylococcus sp. RNAcentral's name for it is "partial 16S ribosomal RNA". It matches the Rfam family "Bacterial small subunit ribosomal RNA", at positions 83 to 354 of the family's 1533-position model. Lineage: Bacteria; Bacillati; Bacillota; Bacilli; Caryophanales; Staphylococcaceae. The record is from RNAcentral.
CCUUUGACGUUAGCGGCGGACGGGUGAGUAACACGUGGGUAACCUACCUAUAAGACUGGGAUAACUUCGGGAAACCGGAGCUAAUACCGGAUAAUAUUUCGAACCGCAUGGUUCGAUAGUGAAAGGUGGUUUUGCUAUCACUUAUAGAUGGACCCGCGCCGUAUUAGCUAGUUGGUAAGGUAACGGCUUACCAAGGCGACGAUACGUAGCCGACCUGAGAGGGUGAUCGGCCACACUGGAACUGAGACACGGUCCAGACUCCUACGGGAGGCAGCAGG